Molecule: ribosomal RNA, 496 nt
Filed under: uncultured bacterium
Lineage: Bacteria
Description: bacterial SSU rRNA
Rfam family: Bacterial small subunit ribosomal RNA
Source: RNAcentral
AGAGUUUGAUCCUGGUCCUAAAUGUUUCCUGGCGGCAGGCUUAACACAUGCAAGUCGAACGAGAAGCCGGACUUCGGUCUGGUGGAGAGUGGCGCACGGGUGAGUAACGCGUGGGGAUUUACCCAGCAGUACGGGAUAACAUCGGGAAACCGGUGCUAAUACCGCAUACGCCCUUCGGGGGAAAGAUUUAUCGCUGUUGGAUGAACCCGCGUAAGAUUAGAUAGUUGGUGGGGUAAUGGCCUACCAAGUCGACGAUCUUUAGCUGGUCUGAGAGGAUGAUCAGCCACACUGGAACUGAGACACGGUCCAGACUCCUACGGGAGGCAGCAGUGGGGAAUAUUGGACAAUGGGCGCAAGCCUGAUCCAGCCAUGCCGCGUGAGUGAUGAAGGCCUUAGGGUUGUAAAGCUCUUUCAUCGGUGAAGAUAAUGACGGUAACCGAAGAAGAAGCCCCGGCUAACUCCGUGCCAGCAGCCGCGGUAAUACGGAGGGGGCUAG